GAUGAACGCUGGCGGCGUGCCUAACACAUGCAAGUCGAGCGAACAGACGAGGAGCUUGCUCCUCUGACGUUUGCGGCGGACGGGUGAGUCACACGUGGAUAACCCACUUAUAAUUCUGGGAUAUCCUCGGGAAACCGGAGCUAACACCGUAUAAUAUCCUGAACCGCAUGGUUCAAUAGUGAAAGUCGGCUUUGCUGGCUCUUAUAGCUGGAUCCGCGCCGCAUUAGCUAGUUGGUACGGUAACAGCUUUCCAAGGCAACGCUGCGUAGCCGACCUCAGAGGGUGGUCGGCCACAUGGGAAGGGAGACACGGUCCAGACACCUACAGGAGGCAGCAGAAGCAAAUCGUCCGCAGUGGUCGAGAACCUGGCAGAGCAACGCCGCGAAAGAAGAAAAAAUCUUCGGAUCGUAAUACUCUGUUAUUGGGGAAAAACAAAUGUGUAAGUGACUGUGCACGUCUUGACGGUACCUGGUCAAAAAGCAGCGGCUAACUACGUG
RNAcentral lists this ribosomal RNA (497 nucleotides) under uncultured bacterium. RNAcentral describes it as "partial 16S ribosomal RNA". It matches the Rfam family "Bacterial small subunit ribosomal RNA", at positions 28 to 507 of the family's 1533-position model. The record is from RNAcentral.